Molecule: ribosomal RNA, 467 nt
Filed under: uncultured bacterium
Lineage: Bacteria
Description: partial 16S ribosomal RNA
Rfam family: Bacterial small subunit ribosomal RNA
Source: RNAcentral
GACGAACGCUGGCGGCGUGCUUAACACAUGCAAGUCGAACGGAAAGGCCCUGCUUUUGUGGGGUGCUCGAGUGGCGAACGGGUGAGUAACACGUGAGUAACCUGCCCUUGACUUUGGGAUAACUUCAGGAAACUGGGGCUAAUACCGGAUAGGAGCUCCUGCUGCAUGGUGGGGGUUGGAAAGUUUCGGCGGUUGGGGAUGGACUCGCGGCUUAUCAGCUUGUUGGUGGGGUAGUGGCUUACCAAGGCUUUGACGGGUAGCCGGCCUGAGAGGGUGACCGGCCACAUUGGGACUGGGAUACGGCCCAGACGCCUACGGGAGGCAUCAGUGGGGAAUAUUGCACAAUGGGCGGAAGCCUGAUGCAGCAACUCCGCGUGCGAGAUGACGGCCUUCGGGGUGUAAACCGCUUUCGCCUGUGACGAAGCGUGAGGGACGGUAAUAAGUAAAGAAGCACCGGCAAACUACUG